AUGUCUGACCAUUGCCCGCUUCUGCUGACCUACGAGCAUUCCGUGCCGCGCAAGGCCCGCUUUCGUUUCGAGGCGUUCUGGCCGCACAUCUCUGGGUUCAAGGAGGUAGUCGCCGCUGCAUGGAACGCGCCCGGGGUGUUUGGCGGCGCUGUCGCCAGGCUCGACACCAAGCUCAAGAGAACAGCCAAGGCGCUCAGACUCUGGCAAAAGCAUCAUAUCGGGAACACCAAGUUGCAACUCUUGAUGGCCCAGGACACGGUGUUGCUCCUUGACCAGGCCCAGGAGGUGCGGCAGCUUGAGCCUGAGGAGUCGGGGCUUCGCAAGGAGCUCAAGUCGCGCAUACUUGGCCUUGCGGUCAUCAAGCGCAUCAAAGCCCGGCAACGCGCCACAGUGAAGGACGUGAGUGCAGGCGACGCUAACACGAAGUAUUUCCAUAUCAAGGCAAAUGCCCGCAGGAGGAAGAACUUCAUAGCCUCCCUUGCGUUGGGCAGCGUCUUGGCCACGGAGCAGAGCCACAAGGAGCAGAUCGCCAGCGACUUUUUUGACCACCUCAUUGGCGAUCCAGGCUCGGCGACAACGGGGUUUAACUGGGAUGCGCUUGGGCUCCCUAGGGCCGAUCUCGCUACGCUGGAAGCCGAGUUCACGCGCGACGAGAUCGCGGCGGCCAUUGCGGAUCUCCCGGCGGAUAGGGCGCCAGGCCCGGAUGGCUUCUCCGACGCUUUCUUCAAAGCGGCUGCGGAGAUCAUCCUCGAUGACCUGGUGCUCGCCUUCCAGCAGCUUCAUAGUCUCAAUCGGGCUGGCCUGCAC
RNAcentral lists this ribosomal RNA (807 nucleotides) under Triticum aestivum (bread wheat). RNAcentral describes it as "partial small subunit ribosomal RNA". The record is from RNAcentral. Lineage: Eukaryota; Viridiplantae; Streptophyta; Magnoliopsida; Poales; Poaceae.